Molecule: long non-coding RNA, 548 nt
Organism: Myotis myotis
Lineage: Eukaryota; Metazoa; Chordata; Mammalia; Chiroptera; Vespertilionidae
Exons: 3
Source: RefSeq, a predicted model, not a curated record
AGGCAGCGUGAUUCUUAGGGAGAUCCCUCCCCCUUCUAUCUUAAUCGGUGCUUAACUUUCCUUCCACUGAAAUGAAAGGCUAUUAUUCCAUCCCCCAGAGAAGGACCCAGUGACUCAUCCACACGGACGGACGUGUAAAAUAACCCCAUCGGGGAUUCUUUCCUGAGCAGCACAGGAGCUGAGAGCAUCAGCACCUGAAGGAGAAGGGGCUCAGGUGACAGGCUGUGCAGGUUCCAGAAGGGACCUGAUGAAGGAAGUCUUGUCAAGCUUCUUAAUUACCCUCCGAUGAAUUAGAAGUUGCUGGGUGCCUGUAACUUCUCCAUCCUUCUUGGGCAGUGUGGCUUACACCGAAUGCUGGAGUCGUUUCUGUAGGUUCCUGAAGAGUUGAAGGGCCCUGGAGGCUGCACCCGUGAGGCUGAAUGAACGAAGGACCUGGGCGCGUGGGAAGGAGGAAAGUGGCCUAUGAGGCUCCUCGCUGAGGCUGGCAAGUACCUGGGCACCAGGGAGCUCCUGUACCUUCCUACUCCUGGCUUUGUGCGGGGUGUGUG